CAUCAAUAUUAUUGACAUACGCUGGAACAGCUUGAUGCAAUCCUGAUAAUAAACUACUGCAACAGUUACUGGAUUGUAGAGGGCGUCGGGUGAGCUAACAAAAAGAUGGAAGCUUGCACGUGCGUGGAUUUCCUUACCGGCCAAGGUGAAGGAUUCAAGCAAUUAUAAAACCACCUAGCUUGUGAUUCGACUCAUCUUCUUCAUACCACCGCUACCAAGGGACUUCCGAGAUAAGAAUGCCUGGGAAUUUUUUGCAACACUGAAUUCCUAGCGAGUUUCAACUUAGCGGAUAGAUGGCUAUUAGUUUUGCUGUCAUGGACAUUUGUUUCAGGUGUAAACAUGUUUUUUUCUGUGUAAAUCGAGAAUCUGAAGAGUUAAUUUCGAUAAAGAAGAUAUUAAAUUGAUAUUUAACACAUUUUUCCGCAUUAAUUUUGAGCUAGAAGCCUUGAAAUAAUGUAUGAUUUAAAUUUUAGCUUCGUGAUGAGUGACUACGACAAAAUGGCAGAGGGAAUCAAAAUGGUGGAGUCA
RNAcentral lists this long non-coding RNA (528 nucleotides) under Cotesia glomerata. RNAcentral's name for it is "uncharacterized LOC123271073, transcript variant X2". The record is from RNAcentral. Lineage: Eukaryota; Metazoa; Arthropoda; Insecta; Hymenoptera; Braconidae.